Molecule: ribosomal RNA, 516 nt
Filed under: uncultured bacterium
Lineage: Bacteria
Description: partial 16S ribosomal RNA
Rfam family: Bacterial small subunit ribosomal RNA
Source: RNAcentral
GAUGAACGCUGGCGGCGUGCCUAAUACAUGCAAGUCGAACGCAUUGAGAAAAGUGCUUGCGCUAUUCAAUUUGAGUGGCGAACGGGUGAGUAACACGUGGGCAACCUACCUGAUAGCGGGGGAUAACGAGUGGAAACAUUCGCUAAUACCGCAUAACAAUAGAGAAGGAAUCUUCUUUAUUUAAAAGGCGCUUUCAAGCGUCACUAUCAGAUGGGCCCGCGGUGCAUUAGUUAGUUGGUGGGGUGAAGGCCUACCAAGACGAUGAUGCAUAGCCGAGUUGAGAGACUGAUCGGCCACAUUGGGACUGAGACACGGCCCAAACUCCUACGGGAGGCUGCAGUAGGGAAUCUUCCACAAUGGACGAAAGUCUGAUGGAGCAACGCCGCGUGUGUGAUGAAGGCUUUCGGGUCGUAAAGCACUGUUGUAUGGGAAGAAAUGCUAGGCUAGGAAAUGAGCUUAGUUUGACGGUACCAUACCAGAAAGGGACGGCUAAAUACGUGCCAGCCGCCGCCGUAA